Molecule: ribosomal RNA, 474 nt
Filed under: uncultured bacterium
Lineage: Bacteria
Description: bacterial SSU rRNA
Rfam family: Bacterial small subunit ribosomal RNA
Source: RNAcentral
ACUCCUACGGGAGGCAGCAGUGAGGAAUAUUGCGCAAUGGGCGAAAGCCUGACGCAGCGACGCCGCGUGGAGGAUGAAGGUUUUCGGAUCGUAAACUCCUGUUAAGUGGGAAGAAAGAUUUGUUUUAAUAGAGACAAAGGAUGACUGUACCAUUAGAGAAAGCACCGGCUAACUUCGUGCCAGCAGCCGCGGUAAUACGAGGGGUGCAAGCGUUAUUCGGAAUCAUUGGGCGUAAAGGGUGCGUAGACGGUUUGUUAAAGUCAACUGUUAAAUUCUCCGGCCUAACUGGAGCUCAGCAGUAGAAACUGGCAGACUUGAGGUUGGAAGAGAGAAGUGGAAUUCUCGGAGUAGCGGUAAAAUGCGUAGAUCUCGAGAGGAACACCAAUGGCGAAGGCAGCUUCUUGGUCCAAAUCUGACGUUGAGGCACGAAAGCGUGGGGAGCAAACAGGAUUAGAUACCCUGGUAGGCUCUGCU